Molecule: ribosomal RNA, 329 nt
Filed under: uncultured eukaryote
Lineage: Eukaryota
Description: partial 18S ribosomal RNA
Rfam family: Eukaryotic small subunit ribosomal RNA
Source: RNAcentral
CCCUUAGAUGUUCUGGGCUGCACGCGCGCUACACUGAUGCGUUCAACGAGUUUAUGACCUUGCCCGAUAGGGUUGGGUAAUCUUUUUAAAUCGCAUCGUGAUGGGGAUAGAUUAUUGCAAUUAUUAAUCUUCAACGAGGAAUUCCUAGUAAACGCAAGUCAUCAGCUUGCAUUGAUUACGUCCCUGCCCUUUGUACACACCGCCCGUCGCUCCUACCGAUUGAAUGGUCCGGUGAAGCGUUCGGACCGUGGCCUUUGGACGGUUCGCCGUCUGUUGGCUGCGGGAAGUUCGUUAAACCUUAUCAUUUAGAGGAAGGAGAAGUCGUAACA